RNAcentral lists this ribosomal RNA (968 nucleotides) under uncultured bacterium. RNAcentral's name for it is "bacterial SSU rRNA". It matches the Rfam family "Bacterial small subunit ribosomal RNA", at positions 1 to 964 of the family's 1533-position model. The record is from RNAcentral.
CCCUUAGAGUUUGAUCCUGGCUCAGAAUGAACGUUGGCGGCGUGGAUUAGGCAUGCGAGUCGUACGAGAACCCGCAAGGGGGAAAGUGGCGAACGGGGUAGUAAUGCGUAGGUGACGUGCCCUGCGGUCGGGGAUAGCUUAGGGAAACUUAAGGUAAUACCCGAUGACACCAUGAGGUUUGAAUACCAUAUGGUCAAAGGUGUGAUUCCACCACAGGAGCGGCUUGCGUGGUAUUAGCUAGUUGGUGAGGUAACGGCUCACCAAGGCAACGAUGCCUAGGGGAUGUUAGCGCAUGAUCCCCACCACUGGGACUGAGAUACUGCCCAGACACCUACGGGUGGCUGCAGUCAAGAAUCUUCGGCAAUGGGGGAAACCCUGACCGAGCGACGCCGCGUGUGGGAUGAAGGCCCUUGGGUUGUAAACCACUGUCAGAGGGGAUGAAGUGCUAGAAAGCUAUCUUUCUAGUUUGACAUAGCCUCAGAGGAAGCACGGGCUAAGUUCGUGCCAGCAGCCGCGGUAAGACGAACUGUGCAAACGUUAUUCGGAAUCACUGGGCUUGAAGAGUGCGUAGGCGGUUUCGUAAGUAGGGGUGUGAAAGCCCUCGGCUCAACCGGGGGUAUUUGCGUCCUAACUGCGAGGCUAGAGUGAGGGUAGGGGGUUGUGUGGAACUUCCAGUGGAGCGGUGAAUGUGUUUGAUUAUUGGAAGGAACCGCCGGUAGACGAAAGCGACACACUGUAUCUUUGUUCUGACGCUGAGGCACGAAAGCCAGAGUAGCAAACGGGAUUAGAUACCCCCGGUAGUCCUGUCGUAAACGAUGAGUACUAGUGGAGGAUGAUCGCACGGUCUUCUCACGGAACGAUAGUUUCAGUACCUCCCGCCUGAGGAGGUAUGUCGCAAGGCUGAAACUCAAUGAACGACAGUGCUCACACUAGCGAUGAGCCAUGUGUGCCUUUAAGUCGCACUCCUA